Molecule: ribosomal RNA, 429 nt
Filed under: Bacteroidota bacterium
Lineage: Bacteria; Pseudomonadati; Bacteroidota
Description: Bacteroidetes bacterium partial 16S ribosomal RNA
Rfam family: Bacterial small subunit ribosomal RNA
Source: RNAcentral
UAGGGAAUCUUCCGCAAUGGACGCAAGUCUGACGGAGCAACGCCGCGUGAGUGAAGAAGGAUUUCGGUUCGUAAAACUCUGUUGUUAGAGAAGAACAGCGCAUAGAGUAACUGUUAUGCGUGUGACGGUAUCUAACCAGAAAGCCACGGCUAACUACGUGCCAGCAGCCGCGGUAAUACGUAGGUGGCAAGCGUUGUCCGGAUUUAUUGGGCGUAAAGCGAGCGCAGGCGGUCAAUUAAGUCUGAUGUGAAAGCCCCCGGCUCAACCGGGGAGGGUCAUUGGAAACUGGUUGACUUGAGUGCAGAAGAGGAGAGUGGAAUUCCAUGUGUAGCGGUGAAAUGCGUAGAUAUAUGGAGGAACACCAGUGGCGAAGGCGACUCUCUGGUCUGUAACUGACGCUGAGGCGCGAAAGCGUGGGUAGCAAACAGG